Molecule: small nucleolar RNA, 87 nt
Organism: Otolemur garnettii (small-eared galago)
Lineage: Eukaryota; Metazoa; Chordata; Mammalia; Primates; Galagidae
Source: Ensembl
UCAGCCAGUGAUGAGGAUGUCUCCCACUCAAAUUCAAGUUUCCCUACCAUGAGAUAACUAAAUGCACUACCUACCGUCAGAGGCCAC